UGGGGAAUAUUGGACAAUGGGGGAAACCCUGAUCCAGCAAUGCCGCGUGAGUGAAGAAGGCCUUAGGGUUGUAAAGCUCUUUCGCCCGUGACGAUGAUGACGGUAACGGGAGAAGAAGCCCCGGCUAAUUCCGUGCCAGCAGCCGCGGUAAUACGGAAGGGGCUAGCGUUGUUCGGAUUUACUGGGCGUAAAGCGCAUGUAGGCGGCGGAUCAAGUGAGGCGUGAAAGGCCUGGGCUCAACCUGGGAACGGCGCUUCAGACUGGUUUGCUCGAGUUCGGGAGAGGGUGGUGGAAUUCCCAGUGUAGAGGUGAAAUUCGUAGAUAUUGGGAGGAACACCGGUGGCGAAGGCGGCCACCUGGCCCGAGACUGACGCUCAAGUGCGAAAGCGUGGGGAGCAAACAGG
Molecule: ribosomal RNA, 404 nt
Filed under: uncultured Defluviicoccus sp.
Lineage: Bacteria; Pseudomonadati; Pseudomonadota; Alphaproteobacteria; Rhodospirillales; Rhodospirillaceae
Description: bacterial SSU rRNA
Rfam family: Bacterial small subunit ribosomal RNA
Source: RNAcentral